RNAcentral lists this long non-coding RNA (238 nucleotides) under Gallus gallus (chicken). Lineage: Eukaryota; Metazoa; Chordata; Aves; Galliformes; Phasianidae. The record is from RNAcentral.
CCUGAAGAGCAAUAGCUAAUCGAAUAAGAUCAAUAACCACUUCUUCAUUAGCUAAUUCAAUUGUAAUAAGAGCUAGAGAUGUAUACAGCAGCUCAAAGUUCUUUUGGACAUUGUCUUCUUCUUUACAGCCUAAGUAGAUGUGUCUGUAUAACUGCUGACCGUGCUUUUUCAUGAAGCUCACAUCUUGCCUUGAAAUUUUGUCUCGUUUUAUCUUUAGAUCAGAAACAUCUGGUAUUAU